UAAUACAUGCAAGUCGAGCGGACAGAAGGGAGCUUGCUCCCGGAUGUUAGCGGCGGACGGGUGAGUAACACGUGGGUAACCUGCCUGUAAGACUGGGAUAACUCCGGGAAACCGGAGCUAAUACCGGAUAGUUCCUUGAACCGCAUGGUUCAAGGAUGAAAGACGGUUUCGGCUGUCACUUACAGAUGGACCCGCGGCGCAUUAGCUAGUUGGUGAGGUAACGGCUCACCAAGGCGACGAUGCGUAGCCGACCUGAGAGGGUGAUCGGCCACACUGGGACUGAGACACGGCCCAGACUCCUACGGGAGGCAGCAGUAGGGAAUCUUCCGCAAUGGACGAAAGUCUGACGGAGCAACGCCGCGUGAGUGAUGAAGGUUUUCGGAUCGUAAAGCUCUGUUGUUAGGGAAGAACAAGUGCAAGAGUAACUGCUUGCACCUUGACGGUACCUAACCAGAAAGCCACGGCUAACUACGUGCCAGCAGCCGCGGUAAUACGUAGGUGGCAAGCGUUGUCCGGAAUUAUUGGGCGUAAAGGGCUCGCAGGCGGUUUCUUAAGUCUGAUGUGAAAGCCCCCGGCUCAACCGGGGAGGGUCAUUGGAAACUGGGAAACUUGAGUGCAGAAGAGGAGAGUGGAAUUCCACGUGUAGCGGUGAAAUGCGUAGAGAUGUGGAGGAACACCAGUGGCGAAGGCGACUCUCUGGUCUGUAACUGACGCUGAGGAGCGAAAGCGUGACCAUCCC
This 739-nucleotide ribosomal RNA is filed under the name Bacillus pumilus. RNAcentral's name for it is "bacterial SSU rRNA". It matches the Rfam family "Bacterial small subunit ribosomal RNA", at positions 49 to 771 of the family's 1533-position model. The record is from RNAcentral. Lineage: Bacteria; Bacillati; Bacillota; Bacilli; Caryophanales; Bacillaceae.